AACCUAGCACACCUGCGGUGUGUACCUGCGGAAGGAUCAUUUAAUGAGUUUGAACAGGACUUGAUGCUGGUCUGCUCUGGCGGACAUGUGCUCAGUUCUACUCAAUCCAUUCAACACCUGUGCACUUUCAAAGUUGAAGUCCUCCGUCAUGGGAGCUGCGGUCUUGUAAUGAGACUGCUGGGACUUCGCUUUGCCCAUUAUCACAAACCAAAUUGAAGUCUUGUAGAAUGUAACUAGCCU
RNAcentral lists this unclassified non-coding RNA (240 nucleotides) under soil metagenome. Its description in RNAcentral is "partial contains 5.8S ribosomal RNA, internal transcribed spacer 2, and large subunit ribosomal RNA". The record is from RNAcentral.